This 479-nucleotide ribosomal RNA is filed under the name uncultured bacterium. RNAcentral's name for it is "partial 16S ribosomal RNA". It matches the Rfam family "Bacterial small subunit ribosomal RNA", at positions 28 to 507 of the family's 1533-position model. The record is from RNAcentral.
GAUGAACGCUAGCGGGAGGCCUAACACAUGCAAGCCGAGCGGUAGAGUUUCGUCGGCUACUUGAGAGAGGCGCACGGGUGCGUAACACGUGUGCAACCUACCUUUAUCUGGGGGAUAGCCUUUCGAAAGGAAGAUUAAUACCCCAUAAUAUAAUGAUUGGCAUCAAUUAUUAUUGAAAACUCCGGUGGUUAGAGAUGGGCACGCGCAAGAUUAGAUAGUUGGUGAGGUAACGGCUCACCAAGGCAAUGAUCUUUAGGUGUCCUGAGAGGGAGAUCCCCCAGACUGGAACUGAGACACGGACCAGACUCGGACGGGAGGGAGCAGUGAGGAAUAUUGGACGAUGGGGGAGAGCCUGAUCCAGCCAUCCCGCGUGAAGGAGGACUGUCCUAUGGAUUGUAAACUUCUUUUGUACAGGGAUAAUCCGACCCUCGUGAGGGUAGCUGAAGGUACUGUACGAAUAAGCACCGGCUAACUCCGUG